UUUCACUUAAAAUAUAUUUUUGUCUUAAAGUUGUUGGCUCGUGUUAAUUUCUACUAUAAGUUGUAUUAGAUUAGUAAAUAAGAUGAAUAUUGAAAUUUAAUUAUAAAAAAUCUCAACAUUUUAAUAUUUUCUUGCACCGCGCGAGUAUGUAUACUUAUCAGAAAUUAAAGUUAAAAGAGUACUCGAAAAUAAAAACAAAGGAAGUACUUUAUGCAUUAGAUUUUUUUCAUACUAGCCAGUGAUUCUGGCUAGUUGGAGUCUCAUAUAACAUAGAGAUAAUAAGUAAACACACUAAGGUUUUUUUUUUUUGGGUUAUUGUAGACAUACAUAACAUUUCAAAUGGAGGCAUUUUUGGAUUUCCUUCAUAAUUCCUGGCUCCUUCACUGUUUUUGUACUCCCAUAGGAAGAGUGGCUGUACGUUUGAAUGGUACGUCGACAUCUAAUAAGUACUUGAAUGAUGAAAGGCAUCCAGGUAAUGGUCCAUGAAUCUUGUUUUGAGAAACAUACAAUACACUUAGCUCAGUAAGACCACACAUCGUCGUUGGCAACGUCUCAACAGAUAAAUUGUUGCAAUUGUAUUUCACCAACAAGUUGAUUUUUUUCUAAGUGGAUUGUGGAAAUGGAAUGUAGUUUUGUGAUUGAAAGUGGAAUUUUUCCGGUGAACGAAUUGUUUGACAAGAAAAGCUUUUGAAGUGCUUGUAAGUUGCAAAUAUUCUCCGAAAUUUCUCCU
Molecule: long non-coding RNA, 730 nt
Filed under: Solanum lycopersicum (tomato)
Lineage: Eukaryota; Viridiplantae; Streptophyta; Magnoliopsida; Solanales; Solanaceae
Description: partial TCONS_00015908
Source: RNAcentral